GACGAACGCUGGCGGCGCGCCUAACACAUGCAAGUCGAACGAGCGAGAGAGAGCUUGCUUUCUCGAGCGAGUGGCGAACGGGUGAGUAACGCGUGAGGAACCUGCCUCAAAGAGGGGGACAACAGUUGGAAACGACUGCUAAUACCGCAUAAGCCCACAGGUCGGCAUCGACCAGAGGGGAAAGGAGCAAUCCGCUUUGAGAUGGCCUCGCGUCCGAUUAGCUAGUUGGCAGGGUAACGGCCUACCAAAGCGACGAUCCAUAGCCGGCCUGAGAGGGUGAACGGCCACAUUGGGACUGAGACACGGCCCAG
This 311-nucleotide ribosomal RNA is filed under the name uncultured bacterium. RNAcentral describes it as "bacterial SSU rRNA". It matches the Rfam family "Bacterial small subunit ribosomal RNA", at positions 28 to 334 of the family's 1533-position model. The record is from RNAcentral.